GACGAACGCUGGCGGCGUGCUUAACACAUGCAAGUCGAACGGAAAGGCCCUGCUUGCAGGGUACUCGAGUGGCGAACGGGUGAGUAACACGUGGGUGAUCUGCCCUGCACUUCGGGAUAAGCUUGGGAAACUGGGUCUAAUACCGGAUAGGAGCCAUCUUUAGUGUGGUGGUUGGAAAGUUUUUUCGGUGUAGGAUGAGCUCGCGGCCUAUCAGCUUGUUGGUGGGGUAAUGGCCUACCAAGGCGGCGACGGGUAGCCGGCCUGAGAGGGUGUACGGCCACAUUGGGACUGAGAUACGGCCCAGACUCCUACGGGAGGCAGCAGUGGGGAAUAUUGCACAAUGGGCGCAAGCCUGAUGCAGCGACGCCGCGUGGGAGAUGAAGGCCUUCGGGUUGUAAACUCCUUUCGCUAGGAACGAAGCUUUUUUGUGACGGUACCUAGAUAAGAAGCACCGGCUAACUACGUG
This 466-nucleotide ribosomal RNA is filed under the name uncultured bacterium. RNAcentral's name for it is "partial 16S ribosomal RNA". It matches the Rfam family "Bacterial small subunit ribosomal RNA", at positions 28 to 507 of the family's 1533-position model. The record is from RNAcentral.